GGUGCGCGGUUCCCUUCUCGCCACUUCCUUGUAUGGACAGUGGGGGACUCCAAAGCCCAGCUCAGGAGAGGCCCGAGCCCGGUACCCGGACGUGCUGGGGGAAGCACAAAAGGGCCGACAAGAAGGGGGUGGGGAAGACCGCCGGUGCAACGAGAUGGAGUGGGCUGGCACCUCAGGAGAACGAAUCGAGGGCGGCGGGCCCCCUUUGUUCUAAGUCUCUGCCAGCUUCAUUCCCUGUCCGGGACCCCAGAAGAUAGCAGAUCGUUUUCAGGGAGAGCAGAAGCCUCGAGGUCACAAAGACAGCCUCAUCCAGCCCCUUUCCUUCCCUCAUCUUGUGACAGAGCCCCCGAAAUGAAAUACGGAUUGCACCACUUUUCCUCUCUCGCAUAAGCAGAAGUGCCUCCUCCGUACCAUGGAGCACGAGGUGGCCGUCAGGAAGAAGGUGCGGGCUCCAUCUGACCGACGUGGAUUGCCAAGAUAAAGGAAAUGAAAACAUCAAGGUGCUGUAUACCAUGCUAUUUUUGAGAUCACAAAAUGAAUAUUCUGUGUAAGUAUGUUUGUAUACCCAUAGAACAUCUCUGGAAGGACACAAAAGAAAAUAGCAACAGUGUUGCAUCCGAUGAGAAGUAAGCAGUGAGGACAGGGUGGAAAGGAGACUUCCUUUUCACAGCGUCCUCCUUUGUACACCUUUGUGUGCAUUACCUAUGAAAAAACGACAAUCAAAAGAAGACUCCCUCCCCUUAAAGAGCUGGAAAGGCAGACAUGCAAACAAUUCCAAUACAAUGUGCUCAUUGUUACCAUUGAGAGUCUGAGGGUGGGGAGGGAGUGUAGAACAGAAGCCGUCUAAGUGGGGCUGUGGGUGUCCGUGAAUUCGGAAUUAUCACGGUGAAUGCUGGAACCUCGCUCAGCUCAGCGUCGCCGGGGCACAAAAAGCACAGUGAGAAGGGACCCGUGACGGAGCUGCAGGAACAGGCAGAGGCCAGAACGUGAACUGCCUUGUGAGCCACGCUGAGGAGUUCAGAUUUUAUCCUAAUAGGAAAUGGGCAGCUAUUAAAAGAAUUUUCAGCAGGGACUGACCUGUUCAGCUUUUGCUGUUUAGAGAGAUGGCUCUGGCAGGAACGUGAGGAUAGAUUAACAGAGGCAAGGAUGGGGCGGGGAGAAGCGUUUUGAGGUUAAUGCAAUAAUCUAGGUGAGCCGUGGUGAAUGGAUACCCCGGGCAAAGGGAGCAGGGAUGACAGGGGAGGAUUAAAUCUGAGACCCGAACCGGGCGGCGGCGUGUAUGGAGACCACGCACAAAGCCUGCCCUGCCGCGCUUGGCUUUCUCACACUGGCAUCCUCUGCACACGUGGGGCCCCAGACACCCAGCGGCUGGCUGGCCGGGUCCAGAGGGGCCCUUCCUGGUCUGCCUGCUUGCUCCUUGCCCCAGGCUCCUUGGCAAAGUGGGGCAGGGAAAAAAGAACAGAAGCUUCUCCCUCGACAUCCAACUCUUAGGUCUGUCUUAUUUAUUCCAUGCUCUCGCUCAGUUCGGGUCCUCAUUAUUUCUGAUCUGAACAGCUUGCUGCUUCCCUGGCUCGCCUCUCCCAACCCCCGUCUGCGAAGUGUCAAUCAAGCCAUCAGAUGAGCUGCUCAGCCUCAUAUCCUGCGCGUCUCUGCCCCAGGACACGAGCAGCGAUGGCUGACACACACAGGCAGCAAGGUGUAGGGCUGCUGGCUCUCCCUUUAAUAGUCUUCCGAGCCAGAACGGGCGUUAAAAUGGAAUUUGAGUGGGUACCUUCUCUCUGCCUGCCCCUGUCACGACAGCAAGGACGGGCGAGCCUGAGAGAAGGGGAAGCCUUCAGAAGCCGAUUUGCUUUUCAUUUCAAGGUUGGGCCGUGGCCAGUAUGUGCUUUCGGAGGAGCUGUUUGAAAUUCUUAACAAGAAGCAGAAUGCUUGAGUCCAGGAAUCCAGGGCAGGCUUGUGAAGUAGGGAUGGGGAAAUGGAAUUGUCAUUUUAUCUCUGAAGGGAUAUAUUAUAUUAAGCAAAGUGGAGGGGGAGGGGUACAGAGAUGCUCUGCAGCUUCCCUGGAGGAUUGAACAAUGGGAAAUGGGGGGGGGACAGCAGGAAGAACUGAGAUUAGAACAAAGAAUGAACUUCCCCAGGCCCUGGAACCAGUGACCAGGGAGAUUUGAAGGUCUGCUGACCCAGAGGAUGUCUCCUUCUUUUACAAAUUGUGAAUGGAUAUGCCAUUUUUAUAGAAUAGGAAACUAAUGAGCAUUAAGCUCAACUACCUCACCAAAUUCUCUUUAGAUCAUUUUUUUAUUUUUUUUUAUUAGA
Molecule: non-coding RNA, 2313 nt
Organism: Microcebus murinus (gray mouse lemur)
Lineage: Eukaryota; Metazoa; Chordata; Mammalia; Primates; Cheirogaleidae
Source: RefSeq, a predicted model, not a curated record